AUGCCUACAGGCCACUGUGGAUCCUACAGGCCACUGUGGAUCCUACAGGCCACUGUGGAUGCUACCGGCCACUGUGGAUCCUACAGGCCACUGUGGAUCCUACAGGCCACUCCUACAGGCCACUGUGGAUGCUACCGGCCACUGUGGAACAGAGAAGAUGUUUUCCUGCAGUGGUGUCGAGGCACUUUCAGUCACUGUGAGUUUCUGACUGCAGUGGAUUUUGGAUUUCUAAAGUUCAAAGGAAGGCUUAGUGCCUCACAGAGGAUUAUAGAUUUACUCCCCAACACACUGAGACAGAGGAAAUAA
Molecule: long non-coding RNA, 306 nt
Filed under: Cottoperca gobio
Lineage: Eukaryota; Metazoa; Chordata; Actinopteri; Perciformes; Bovichtidae
Description: lncRNA (ENSCGOG00000014191.1)
Source: RNAcentral